AUGAACGCUAGCUACAGGCUUAACACAUGGCAAGGUCGAGGGGAACGACAGAGGAAGCUUGCUUCCUUUGGGCGUCGACCGGCGAACGGGUGAGUAACGCGUGAAGAACCUGCCUUUCAGUGGGGGACAACAGUUGGAAACGACUGCUAAUACCGCAUGACACUUCUUAGGGGCAUCCCCGAGAAGUCAAAGCUUAAUGUGCUCAAAGAUGGGCUCGCGUCUGAUUAGAUAGUUGGUGAGGUAACGGCCCACCAAGUCGACGAUCAGUAGCCGGACUGAGAGGUUGAACGGCCACACUGGAACUGAGACACGGUCCAGACUCCUACGGGAGGCAGCAGUGGGGAAUCUUCCGCAAUGGGCGAAAGCCUGACGGAGCAACGCCGCGUGAGUGAUGACGGCCUUCGGGUUGUAAAGCUCUGUGAUCGGGGACGAACGGUCAGCAGACGAAUACUCUGCUGAAGUGACGGUACCCGAAUAGCAAGCCACGGCUAACUACGUG
RNAcentral lists this ribosomal RNA (499 nucleotides) under uncultured bacterium. RNAcentral describes it as "bacterial SSU rRNA". It matches the Rfam family "Bacterial small subunit ribosomal RNA", at positions 29 to 507 of the family's 1533-position model. The record is from RNAcentral.